This is a non-coding RNA of Anas platyrhynchos (mallard), 7418 nucleotides long. The record is from RefSeq and is a predicted model, not a curated record. NCBI's taxonomy places the organism in Eukaryota, Metazoa, Chordata, Aves, Anseriformes, Anatidae.
GAGGAAACCUAAAAAGUAAAAAUAAGAUUUCAACGCGCUUUAAAAAGUGACAACUCUUCUCAAAAAAAAAAAAUGUACAAACUCAUCUGUAUUUUGUGGCUGUGUGGCUGAACGGAGGGUGCCUUUUUUGAUUUCAGAAGGAAAGCUACGCAUCUUCAUGUGAGUGUGCUUUCUUUCCCAUGUGCUUUCCCGGUCUUUUUCAUUUCCACACCUGCUUUGAGCUUUAAUCACUCAAAUUAUUCAUAGACUUGCCCUGGAAAAAGAAGAGAGUGACCUCUUCCCAUCUGGAGUAGAUGGAUUUACCAUCAAUAAUUGUAAAUGGACUUGGAUGACUUAAUGGUUUUUAUGCUUAAAAUUUUUAAUUCUGUGAUUUCAUUGCUUUUUAAGAAUUCCAGCACGUGGUCUUCUCCGAACUGAUAAAUCUCUAUGGUAUAACUUCAACUUAUUUCUUGCAAAUUAUAUCUUAACACUGGCCUCACAUCCACAAAGUGCUGAUGAUCCCCCCAUGAACUGCUGAGUCGUCAAAGAGCAGGCAGUUUUCACAGGACCAGGCUCCAGCUCUCUGCAGUUUGAUAUGUAUGAAAUGUGCUAAGCUUCAGCUGGCCUGGAUGUCUAAUAAACACUUUAGUGAAUGAGGCUUAGUGCAGCUUCCUCUAUUAACUCAAAAGAGAUGCGUUUCUUUUCUGGAUUGUUUCUCCAUUCAGAAGGAAAGAAGACCUGCAUGGCCAGAGUUCACCUCAUAAAUCACCUAGACAAAUGGCACUCGGGGCAGAAUAAGGUACAAAAUGAGAGUCAUUGUGAUUUAGUCUCAACGAACUUGUGGUAUUCUGCUAUGGAAAUGUUCGUGACAUGAGACAAACAGAGAGAGCCACCUGGCACCAAGCACAUCUUCACGACGGAGGGAACACCACGAGAGCGACUUCAGUGGGCUCAGCAAUCGUGCAGGGUAUUUAGCGAGUUGUCCCAUAUCUCCUUAAUGCUGUCUUUUGCAACAGUGCUGUGCUUUUUUCUCUUUUUUAUCCUUUUCCUCUUAUUUCUGAUGCUCAGAAUGCAGUGAUUUUUGUACAAGCUGCAGGCAGUCCACACUCGCUCAGUCCCCACAGCAAGGUGUGGUACUUUCUGACACUGAUUCUCCGCAGCUGCAUGGAAGGGCCACUUCAGAAAUCAGCUGCUCUUCAUCUUCCCGGGUUUUAGCUGAGCUUAACCUUUGGUGAUCAGUAAAUGGACAUGGUAAGAAAGGCUGUGGCCCAGCUGCUCCUCCUUGAAAUUCCUGAGACUUGUCAACCAACCUCUGCGCCCUCACCUGCCUGCAUUUCAGCAUCCCUCUCAUCUUAUUGCAGUUUCUUGUCUUUCUAUUGGAGGUAGAGACGUGUGAAAACAUCUUCAGGGUGAUGGAUCAUGAGUGUGGGUACAGGUGGCAGUAUUUUGGGUGCAAAUAAGGAAAGAAAACACUUUGUGACUUCUGCAAAUGGGUGCUAGGUGCUUUCUUAACACCAGUUCACUUGAUCUCCUGCCUAAUUUAAACAAUGCAUCUUGUCCUUGUUCAAUAAUUUUCUUCUACUCUUAGUACUUUUAUAAUAUCUUCAUUAGUUAUUGAUCCAAGUUCUGAAAUAUUUGGGGCUGAGGGGGAGUCCUUUUUGAUUCCAAGUGUCUGAUAAAUCUCUUUGUUGCCACCUGCAAACUCUGCUCUUGUUUCUUCCCCUCAUUCUGUGUUUAUUUAAAGGACCCUUCAAAAUCAUGUUGGCUCCCCUGGAUAUGAUGGGACUUUUGUUCUACUAGAUCAGAGCGUCCUGUCGGGGCUUUGCCAUUUCUGAGGAAGCAAAGUCAGGUAUCUUUCAGCUCAGUUGUUGCUUCAUCUCCUCUGCUCUCCCAGGGGUCUUGCACACGCUUUCAGUUCUGCCUUACGUUUUUGAUUUGGUGAGGUUCCCUGCUAUUUACAUUUCUUCACAUAUAUCCUCUUCAUACCAUCUGCUACCUUAUGUUUUGCUCAUCUCUGAAAUUUAGCAACUGUACUUCAUGCAACAGCGUGCUACCUUAUUUUCUUAACGUUUAAUAAAAAGAUUCAAAAAGAACAAAGCAAAUUAGAACUCACCCUUUCCAUCUAGACAUAUUAACCGGUGAGGGAACACUUCAAUUAAGACCUUCAAAGCCUCGAGACAAAUGAAUUUGUAACUGCGAUUUUGUACGUUGUUUAUCCAAAAGGCACAGUAUCCAAUCAACUACAGUAGUUUUAUUACUGACAGUAAGAUAAGAUUAAAAAAUAAGAUUAUUAUAUAUUGCUAGCCUCUCUAUUAACUUUUUUCUUUAGAAUUCAGCAAGUCUUGGAAGUCGUAUUUACUUUAGAGUCAGCUGUAGCUGUGCCUUGUUAGGUAAAAGCUACAGUAACUGUUUUCCUGAACUUAGCUCCUGACCUACCUUUUAAGGCCACGUCUACAAAGGGAUGAUGCAUCAAUCUCGUUUGUUUGAUCUAAUUACAGCUAUUUAACUACACUGAGCACAAGUGCAUUCACCCCACUUUGUUAUGCUGAUUUAAGACGUUUUCCACUGUUAAUCGGGUGCGCGCCAUUCUUCCUUGCAUCAAUUCACCUCUCAAAAUAUUCUGGGCAGCUAUCCCACAGAGCGCCGGUCUGUUACUCAGCUGCGUGUUCUUUUUCACAGCAUGCUGCUAGGGAAUUCUCUGAAAUUUGGGAAUUCUUCAGGUCAAACUGACUAUUUACUGUUGCUUUUUUCUUGGCAUUGAUUUUUGCCUGUGCAACUUCUUUCUCAAAACGUUGAGAGGUUGCAUGAAGAAGCAGCUGCUAAAUCCAUUACAAUGCUUAUUCCUGCGAGGUGGCACAGGUGGAAGGAUCUAGUUGUAUAGCUUCGCAGGUCUUUUGCUACUUGAGGAAUGGAAGAAAUGCAAAAAAAAGCGAAACCACCAGAUGUAAUCAACCUGUUACUUCUGUACAACGUCUACCUGGAGCAGUUUACUCAACGGUGAGCUCUUCUGGGUGUGACUGGUGGCACGGGGACGUGGUGCAGAGCUGGGAUGAGCAGAAGCAGCAGCCGCCUGUUGGGACAAGGCAGAACACAAACCAAAGGCAUCCCUUAGCAUGCAGAAGCCCGUUGCUGUCUGUGGAAGAGCACCGUUUCUGAUCACUUGCAACUGAAAAUUAGCCAGUUUUAUGUCAGGGAUGCUGUCGUGGGAUUUUUUUAUGCCUAUAUCUGAAGAAGGUGCUGAUCUUCUGUGUCAUAAAGCUUGGUAAUGCAUAAGAAAUUACUGAGAGCUUUUCCUAGGUAUAGUCCAUGAAUCAAGUAGGGGUUAUAGGGGUUCAAAGAAUAAACAUGGUCUGUUGAGCCAGGAGAAAGAAUUUAUGGAGACAGCGAACAGUUUCUUAAUGGUUGUACACGGCCUUGCUCAUCAGUGCAGGUGAUUUACCAUUAAAUGGAUGUAGAAUGAGCCUAGGAUGGGAUUGUGAAACUUGCUCAGAGCAGAAUCUUUAGAAACUUGAACUUACCCUGAUUUGUACAACACCCGUAAGAGGAGGGGAAAGAUACUGAAGGGUGGACAAAAGCAAGGAAUGGGAAGACACUUUCAGUAUUAUGGACAUCCAGUGAAAAAGUCUCUGCAAAAAUAGCUGCUUGAGGAGGAAAAAAUGUGCAUUAAGACAAGAGAUAAUGAAUCAAUUUAAUCAAAGAAACAGCAUUUGGACUUUAUUAGCAGAUACUAAAGGCGCUGUCAUGCUGCUGCGUGUUCAGUGUAGCUCAGAGAUCUUCAACAGAAGUGUCAAAGUAGUUUGACUUGGCAAAAUAACAUUAAUAAAAGAAGAAACGCUUGAUCUGAAAUGCACUCCCUGCACUCUUCUGUAACUGAAAGUUGCAAAGAAGUCCUCCAAGUAACUUGCUGAAAUGGUAGCCUGAGGUGGUGGCCCCAAAUCAUCUAUUCUUCCUCUAAAAGUGCACUGUUAAAUUUGAAAUACACCUUUCUCGCUAUUUUUAUUACUAUAGCAAAUACAGGAAGAAAAAUAGCGGUCAUAGAAAGACAUCACGAGGCCCACUGGUCACAGCUCUGCUCCAGGACAAGAGGAAGAUGCUUUGACGUGUGAAAAGAUGCUGGAAAGAUGUGUGGAUGUUUUUAUAUCGUCUCCUUUAAAAAUAAAGCAAAACAACGACGAAACCACUGCCCGUGCUAGUAUUUUCAUUGUUUAGACAUCACUUCUGUUGCUCUGCUAAAUCUUACUGUGAAUUAAGUCUAUGGCCUGUUCUGCUUUUUUAGGCAUGAACGUUUGGUUGUCGACCUUCAGUGUAGCAAAGUGGAAGAUGGCUGUUUUGUCCCCUCUCAUGUAAGCUCUCCCUUUUUUUUCCCCUUUUCCUUUUUUCUUUUUCCUUUUUUCCCCCCGUUUUUAAUGCAAUAUUUCAACUUGUUCUUAGGUUUAGAUUUUCUAAGCCUCCCAGCCUUCUUGUUGCUCUCUUUGUGCUCUUCCCAGCUGGUUUAUAUCUGUUUUUAUUUUUAAUGUGGUGCCUGAAAUUGGAUACAAUAUUCCAGCUGAGAUUUCACCAGGACUGAGUUGAACAAGAUAAUUGUCACGGGUGUCCUACGUAAAACAACCUUAUUAAAUAUUUCUGUGAUGUAUUAUCUUUAUUGUGUUGACUCAAAUUCAGUUUGUGAUCCAUUAUAACCACUGGCUUCUUUAGUGCAGUUCUGCUGCCCAGCCAGUUUUCCCCCUUACUGUGCACGUUCAUGUCUUGAUCUGUGGCUACAGAAAACGACUGAAAAUGUCGUGCCUGAAGACAAGGGGGAGAAAAAGAUCUGAGGAGGGUUUCCAAAUGCACCAUUGGUGUGAACUCCAAGUGGGCCAGCCUGCAAAUGGAAGAGGAAUUGUCAGUUAAUGUUCUUUUUCAACAACGGAUGGGAUUUAUGUUUUAUUACUCAAAAAGUUCAUAGAAGUCCUAAUGUGAGCUGGAAUAGGAAUGUUUGCUUGCAAGUGGGAAGGAAAAUAGUUACACUACGUGAAUCUUGGGUUAUAAUUCUUGCGAAGUUUUUCGCUGUCCUGUCACUCACAAGAUGAGCAGAACAAUUUUAUUAAUGUCCCUUUUAAAAAAUAAUAAUUGUGGCUGUGGAGUUGAGAUAAACCGAAGUUAAAAUUGAGCGGCUUCGUAGAAAGAAGAAAUCAACAACCAGAAGAGCUGUGCAAUUCUGCUUUUGUCCAAAACUUUUAAGGAUGUAAAGAUGCAAUCUGUGUAUGCGAGGUGUCCUCUUGGUCUUUCAUGCAGCUGUCUGGUGAGAACAUUGCCCAAACCAACCAACCACCAAAAAUUCAGGAUCCAUUUCUGCCCUGUGCCCCCUUGUGUAUUAUUGUUUAAAGAAGCAUGAAGAGGUGACAGACAAGGCUUUGACAGCAUGGAGCAAGGUGUGCUUGAAGUCCUGAACGUCUGUGGAGAAUGGAAGACCCCGAGAAGAGCAGCCAAGGUUUGUUUGCUAAAGAGAAGUAUGAAUAAAGCAGUCAUCCACCAGGUUGCAGAUGAGCGUUCCAAGCACACUGCUGGUAUUGUUUUUCCCCGGUGGUUGGACUUCCACGAUGUGGGACUCGAGGAGCCUCCCUUGGUCACCAAGCCUUAUGCCAGGUGUCUACAGAACGUCUGGAGCUCAGGAUUCAGUUUUACAGAGAACGAACAGUUCUGACCGGUGCCUUUGUUUUACUGAAGGUUUUAAUAUAUUUUCCUGCCUACGUGGGCAAACUGCGAUGCUUGUACUUUUCACCUCGUCUCUCCCGGUGUUGCACGUCAGAGGCCUUUUAGAGGUCCCCGGUGGAGAGGCGAUUUUAUUCCAUAUUCCAGAAGAAAGUAACGGGGAUGAAAAUCGUGGCCAGCGGGGGAAGCCCCCGGCCCCUGCAGGUUGCUCAGCCCAGAAGUCGGUGGUACAGUGCCGCAUCUGCCCAGCACGCACUUCAGGGUUGUUGAACUUCACUCCCCGAGCAGCCACAGAGGUCGCUUCUGAGCAGCACGAAACGUGGUGGAUUUUUUUUUAUUUUUUUAAAUUUUUUUUCCUCCCCACCAAGGCUCUCGGUCCCUCAUGGCCGGAGUGGCAAAGCACGUUUAAAUCCUUAACUCGGAUUUCCCACGUGGUGUCUCGUUGAGCUGCUGUCACAGGCACGCCGCUCGCUCAUUUACACGGGGCGAAUUCACUUAUUUCCUGCUGGCGCGGAGAGCGCAGGAGGUGAUUAACACUCUUAAUGAAACGGUAUUUCCAGACACCACAGAAAAAAAGAAAAAAAAAAAAAAAAAGAGAGAAAAACCCACGACUUGUGGGAAAAGCCAGCUCUCAUCAGCAGCAGGCUCUUGCUCUUUGAGUCCACCACCGAGUGGACAAAUACAGGGUACAAAAAUACAAAAUACAAAGGUGACUGAAGUUGGGCUCCUCUUUUCAGGGGUGUUAAUUCAGGAGUUAAUUCAGCCCCGUUGGGUGCAUUUGGGGUGCGGGUACAUGCAAACAGCACGCCUGGUUUGGGGGUGAGGGGUCAGCAGUGUGUGCUGGGAGGGAAACCCCACUUGUUUGUGUGAAUGCAGCAUAUAUUGGACGUGUGUAAGCAUUACAUUGAGGGGGGGGAUUUUUAUUUUUUUUAUCUUUUCACCCCAUUCAGAGACCUUGGACAUAACGCGUGGUGUUUCGGCACUGAGAAAGGAGAAAGGGAAUGGGGGGGCAGGGAGGGGAGUGCCCAAAGUUGCAUCUGGCCUUCAGACCCCACUGUAAUUCCUGGUGGAAGGUGUCCCUUACCUUUAAUUAUUCAGUUUAGCCAGACCUACAGUGCACCUCGUGUCACUUUCAGGCCUUUUUCCUGGUGUCUCUAGGAGGCACCCUUCAUCGAGCAAGGGGAUAAAAUCUUGGCAAAAAGAGCACCAAAGGAUGUGAACCCCUAGGAAAAUUCCACUUCCUGUAUACUAAUGCUUGUCCUUGGGUCUCUCACUCGUUCCCAUGCAUUUAACAAGGGAUUUGUGCCUGAGGCUACGACACCAACUUUCUAAAUAAACGCAGCGCUGCAGAGAAUAACCCAGCUCGCUGCUUUUUCCCCUUGUGCGCUGAGCAGCUCAGCACGACCUACGUCUCCUCUCCUCCUCCUCCUCCCCUCCAUUUUAUUUCUCCUCUUUCUUUUUCAGCAGACUCAACUCUCUCUCCUGCUCAACUUGCUGUGAACAAAAGGCUCCGUUCCAGAUCCAGCCCGCAGUUGCCGUGAGAAACUUCUCUGCGAGCGCUGGCUGUCGCGCUGCCUCCCUCGCCUGCUCGCUGCCUCCCUGCCUCGGUAAAAUGGCAGUGCAAGAGCUUCAUGAAAAGGGUGAAAACCCUCCUUUCUCGGCCCCUGGCUCUCCAGCAGCACUCCCCCUGCCCUAUUCGUGACUCCUGAACUCCAACUUGGCUAAAAAUACACUUUCAGAGGGCAGAA